GACGAACGCUGGUGGCGUGCUUAACACAUGCCAGUCGAACGGAAAGGCCCUUCGGGGUCCUCGAGUGGCGAACGGGUGAGUAACACGUGGGUGAUCUGCCCUGCACUUUGGGAUAAGCCUGGGAAACUGGGUCUAAUACCGAAUAUGAUCAUCGGCUUCAUGGUCGGUGGUGGAAAGCUUUUGCGGUGUGGGAUGGGCCCGCGGCCUAUCAGCUUGUUGGUGGGGUAAUGGCCUACCAAGGCGACGACGGGUAGCCGGCCUGAGAGGGUGACCGGCCACACUGGGACUGAGAUACGGCCCAGACUCCUACGGGAGGCAGCAGUGGGGAAUAUUGCACAAUGGGCGCAAGCCUGAUGCAGCGACGCCGCGUGAGGGAUGACGGCCUUCGGGUUGUAAACCUCUUUCAGCACAGUCGAAGCGCAAGUGACGGUAGGUGCAGAAGAAGGACCGGCCAACUACGUG
This 462-nucleotide ribosomal RNA is filed under the name uncultured bacterium. Its description in RNAcentral is "partial 16S ribosomal RNA". It matches the Rfam family "Bacterial small subunit ribosomal RNA", at positions 28 to 507 of the family's 1533-position model. The record is from RNAcentral.